This 363-nucleotide ribosomal RNA is filed under the name Triticum aestivum (bread wheat). Its description in RNAcentral is "partial small subunit ribosomal RNA". Lineage: Eukaryota; Viridiplantae; Streptophyta; Magnoliopsida; Poales; Poaceae. The record is from RNAcentral.
AUGUCUUUGCCUGUUCCUGUUGCUCCAUGGGAGGACAUCUCUAUGGACUUCGUCUUGGGUUUGCCAAGAACAAGACGAGGGAGUGAUGUCGUGUUUGUGGUCGUGGAUAGAUUCUCUAAGAUGGCUCAUUUCAUCCCAUGCCGCAAGACAACGGAUGCUCAUCAUGUGGCAAACCUAUUCUUCCGAGAAGUAGUCAGACUUCAUGGAGUUCCAAGGUCCAUUGUCUCAGACCGUGAUAGCAAGCUUCUUGCUGCAUUUUGGCUCACUUUGUGGAAGCAAUUCAGCACUGAAUUGAAAUUUUUCUUGCACUGCUCGUCCACAAACAAAUGGACAAACGGAAGUAGUGAACAAGUUUUUGGGUAA